GAGUGUUAUUAUCUUCCUAUGGAUUUGAGUCACCUUCUUUAAAAACUAUCUUUCUACCCACAAAAUCCUUCUUUUUUCUCGCACAUAUUUUUCUUCAAUUACAUAGGUGUCCGGAGCUCUUCAGGAGAAAGAGGAAAUAACCAAGUGGUUUCAUGGCAGCCUAUAAAGUCUCCGUCAGACGCAUUGUGAUGCCAUUAUUAAUCUUGAACUAGAGCUCCACCUUUUGUAUGUCCAUUCCAUUGGCUCCCAAGAUCCAAGAGGAUGGGGAGGCAGCCAGAGAGCCAGAGCCCAGGACAAAAAUGGGAUUGAGAGAAAGAUCCAUUGACCAGCAUGUGAAAAGUCUCUGUACUCAAGUCCAAAUGGAUUUCAAAUUCAGUGUUAAAAUCUCUUCCAGAGUAAAACUGAAACAUUGAGAAAGUAAACA
Ictidomys tridecemlineatus (thirteen-lined ground squirrel) is the source of this 424-nucleotide non-coding RNA. The record is from RefSeq and is a predicted model, not a curated record. Lineage: Eukaryota; Metazoa; Chordata; Mammalia; Rodentia; Sciuridae.